RNAcentral lists this ribosomal RNA (511 nucleotides) under Apagomerella versicolor. Its description in RNAcentral is "partial large subunit ribosomal RNA". It matches the Rfam family "Bacterial large subunit ribosomal RNA", at positions 1828 to 2603 of the family's 2925-position model. Lineage: Eukaryota; Metazoa; Arthropoda; Insecta; Coleoptera; Cerambycidae. The record is from RNAcentral.
GGCCUUUUGAGUUUAAUUUAAGGUCUAGCCUGCCCACUGAAAUUUAAAGGGCCGCGGUAUUUUGACCGUGCUAAGGUAGCAUAAUCAUUAGUUUUUUAAUUGAAAGCUGGAAUGAAUGGUUGGAUGAGAAAAUAACUGUCUUUUUUAAAUUAUAUUGAAUUUUAUUAUUAAGUAAAAAAGCUUAAAUUUUUUUAAAAGACGAGAAGACCCUAUAGAGUUUUAUAAAAUUAAUAAUUGGAAUUUUUAGAAUUUAAAUUUUUAAUUAAUAAUUUUAUUUAAUUGGGGUGAUUGAAAAAUUUAACAAACUUUUUUUAAAAAAAAUUCAUUAAUUUAUGUUUUAUUGAUCCAUAUAUAAUGAUUAUAAGAUUAAAUUACCUUAGGGAUAACAGCGUAAUUUUUUUUUAGAGUUCUAAUCGAAAAAAAAGAUUGCGACCUCGAUGUUGGAUUAAAAUUUAUUUUUGGUGUAGAAGCUAAAAAAUUAAGUCUGUUCGACUUUUAAAAUUUUACAUGA